This 254-nucleotide ribosomal RNA is filed under the name uncultured bacterium. RNAcentral's name for it is "partial 16S ribosomal RNA". It matches the Rfam family "Bacterial small subunit ribosomal RNA", at positions 524 to 776 of the family's 1533-position model. The record is from RNAcentral.
UACGUAGGGGGCAAGCGUUGUCCGGAGUUACUGGCGUAAAGCGCACGCAGGCGGUCUCUUAAGUUUGGAGUGACAGUUGGUGGCUUAACUGCCAAAGUGCUUCGAAAACUGAGAGACUUGAGGGCUUCAGAGGGACACGGAAUUCCGGGUGGAGUGGUGAAAUGGCGUAGAGAUCCGGAGGAACACCAAAGGACGAAGGCAGUGUCCUGGGGAGUACCUGACCGCUCGAGGUGCGAAGCCAGGGAGCGAACGGG